GGGGAAUAUUGGACAAUGGGCGAAAGCCUGAUCCAGCAAUGCCGCGUGUGUGAAGAAGGCCUGCGGGUUGUAAAGCACUUUAAGCAGGGAAGAAAGGCGGGAGGUUAAUACCCUUUUGCACUGACGUUACCUGCAGAAUAAGCACCGGCUAACUCCGUGCCAGCAGCCGCGGUAAUACGGAGGGUGCGAGCGUUAAUCGGAAUUACUGGGCGUAAAGCGCGCGUAGGCGGUUUGUUAAGUCAGCUGUGAAAGCCCCGGGCUUAACCUGGGAAUGGCAGUUGAUACUGGCGAGCUUGAGUGUGGUAGAGGGGUGUGGAAUUUCCGGUGUAGCAGUGAAAUGCGUAGAGAUCGGAAGGAACACCAGUGGCGAAGGCGGCACCCUGGACCAACACUGACGCUGAGGUGCGAAAGCGUGGGGAGCAAAC
Molecule: ribosomal RNA, 425 nt
Filed under: uncultured bacterium
Lineage: Bacteria
Description: bacterial SSU rRNA
Rfam family: Bacterial small subunit ribosomal RNA
Source: RNAcentral